GGGUCACAAAGAGAUAAGCACAAGACCAAUACGACCCGUGAACAAUAUUAUUAAUGCCUAUAAAACCAAAAACCAAUCCACCAAGAAAUUAGAAGCUUGUCAAAACAUAGAAAAAACUCAGAAAUUAAAUUUCAAUUUUUCAAUGGUCACCUAUGCUUCGGGUGAGAGAAACACGUAUCAGAAUUCAUCUUGUUUUAGACACCAUAAUUUUCUAUGUAAGGAAGAAAAAAUGGUUGUUCUUUAUUUUUGAUCCUAUGAUACAUGUCGCUCUCACCUGAAGCAUAGCUGCCCAAUGCUUUCAUAACAUCAUGAGAGAAUUAAGAAAGAAGCUGCCAUCAAAUUGUUGUAUCCGAAAAUACCUCAUGAUUUUAUCAUCUAUAAAGUUGAGAUCCAAUAGUUGAGGCCUCGCCUAGGCUACGAUUGGAUGACGCCACACAUUUUCUAGCGGGGAUGGAAACCUUGUUGAGCAUGGACUUGAGGUGGGGGAAUUUCCAUGGCGGCUCUAAGUUCAGAUCACCAUUGUUUCUCCAUUGAAUCUCUUGAACUAAUGGAGGGUUACAUUGGUGAAAUGGAUUUGUUAUAUGUGGUUGUUCACCGGCAUAACUUACCGGAGUUGGUACAAGUACACCAAGUCGUAGAAGGCUUGUCACAGGAUUUAUCGAUGCAAGUGGGUAACUUGUCCAUGGCUGAUGCAUCGAGUAAUCCAUAAAUGGUUAUUGAAUUCUUACUACUGGGAUGCAUGUGUGUCCUCCAACACAAGAUAUGUUGUUUUCCUGCAUAGUACUGCCAUAAGGCAGAAUUUGCGGUAUGCCAUUGUGUGCUACAACUCCAGUUGUCCUUCUCACCAUAUAUAAUUGUCCAUCUUGAAACUUAGCCUGAUUGUAUGCAUCAUUCGCCGUUGUGUGCACCAUAGGGUAAGCGAUAGCGAAAAUUCUAGGCUGGGAAUAAGGAGUAGAAGUUACUUGUUGUAUAUGAAUAAGCUAAACUUGUUGAGGUCAUGGGGAUGUAAUAAUCGACUAUAUUUGAUUAAUAAUGUGUGCCUGAUUCUGGUUUCCAUGUACUUGUAUAGUGGUGAUGACUUGAUUUUCACCGAAAUUGGCUCUAACAAUCUCCAAAUACAUGGCUAGAUGAAACCUAUUAUGGACCUUGGGUUUCACAAUGACAUCAAGUUGUUUGGAGACUUGAUACACGAUGUCAUGCAUCCCCGUAUCAAUUUUGUUUUCUAAUGAAAUAUGUUUUCAUUACUACUAGAGUCUUACGUAUUUCAAUCAAUUGUAUCGUAGAACGCUGGAAGGAGCCAUGAGAGUUGGCAUUACCAACGUUUGUGAUGACUCACCCGGUUGAGAUUUUCCUAACUACUGAGAAUUUAUAGUAGAACUAUUGCCUACUUGCCAAACGGCGUGGCCUACAAUGCUAAACCUAUGUUCGGCUAAUUUUAUGGGUUGUGCGUGAUAACUCCCUUGCUAAUGGGAUUGUGGAACCCCACAUUCGACUUCAGUCUUGUCCUUCACAACAUGGUCCAUUGACAAAGUCCUUAGUGCGCAACUCCAUGGAGAUCGUGUCUCUUCCAUUAUUCCUCAAAGUGGUUAAUGGUGUUAUAAAUAAGGAACGUGAGUUUCUCGUGUCAUUAUCCAGUCCCGCUAUAACGUGCCCAACUUUUCACGCUCGACUGCUUUAACGUGCCCAACUUUUGAUCAAGAGGCUUCCUUACCUAAUAAUCUAAUUGCCUAUCUGUCGAGGUUGGCCAACAUGAUGAUUAUUUUUAGCUGCAAACAGGAUCAUAUCUAUGUUAGAUUGAAAAAUAAAGGCAUUAUAACCCUUGCUCAGGUUGAAGGAUUCAAAAGAAAUGAUACGAGGUUCCAACCAAUAGAUAUCUUUUAAUUUUUUUUUUACCAAAGCAAAGUUAACUAUUAUUAUUAAUCAAUCAAUGUUCAAUACAAGAAGGAUAUAGCUAAAGUAUGAGCAACCAUGUUCGCUUGUCUUCUAACAAACUUUAUCUCGAAGUUGGAAAACAAAUCAAGAUCUACAUCGGGGCUAAAGACGAGUCAGUCGGUUUCUUAUUAGCUUAUGAUGCCUGGAUGGAACUAAAAUAGCAGCAUAUUACCUUAGCUGGAUCUUGAAAGAUGUGGGAACCAAAUAUACACAUAUUGAUAAAUUAUGUUUAUCUUUCUUGUAUGCUUGUAAUAAUAUUUCAUACCUAGAGAACUUUUGGUCUUGUGUAAGAUUAACAUUGUUAGGUAUUUACUAAAUAAACCUAUCUUAGGAGAA
Long non-coding RNA from Medicago truncatula (barrel medic), 2268 nucleotides. RefSeq lists it as uncharacterized. The transcript has 2 exons. NCBI's taxonomy places the organism in Eukaryota, Viridiplantae, Streptophyta, Magnoliopsida, Fabales, Fabaceae. The record is from RefSeq and is a predicted model, not a curated record.